Molecule: ribosomal RNA, 468 nt
Filed under: uncultured eukaryote
Lineage: Eukaryota
Description: partial 18S ribosomal RNA
Rfam family: Eukaryotic small subunit ribosomal RNA
Source: RNAcentral
CAAUCCAAAACCCUUAUUGAGUAACAAUUAGAGGGCAAGUCUGGUGCCAGCAGCCGCGGUAAUUCCAGCUCUAAUAGCGUAUAUUAAUACUGUUGCAGUUAAAACGCUCGUAGUUGAACUUAGAAUUAUUACAAGUUAUUUUACUUGAUUGUAAAAUGCUUGCUUAAUUCUUAUCUACUAGAUACUCUAUUCUGUACUUAAUUGUAUGGAAUAUCACCUAGCCAGUGGAACUUUGGUGAAAUAAUGCCUUUUUAAUACCAGAGUGUAAAAACUUGAAGUGUUAAAUUGGGAUAACAUUAUUUUAUUGAAGCGGGGUUCUAGUUAAUUUACUUUGUAGUAAAUUAGAGUGUUCAAAGCAGCCUCUUGGGGCUUUGAAUAGAUUUAGCAUGGGAUAAUAGAAUAGGAUUUGAUAAAUCUAUUUGUUGGUUUGAAUUAAUCAAAUAAUGAUUAAUAGGGACAGUUGGGGGG